CCUACGGGAGGCAGCAGUGGGGAAUAUUGGACAAUGGGGGCAACCCUGAUCCAGCCAUGCCGCGUGUGUGAAGAAGGCCCUCGGGUUGUAAAGCACUUUCAGUGAGGAAGAACGCCUGGUGGUUAAUACCCAUCAGGAAAGACAUCACUCACAGAAGAAGCACCGGCUAACUCCGUGGCAGCAGCCGCGGUAAUACGGAGGGUGCGAGCGUUAAUCGGAAUUACUGGGCGUAAAGCGCGCGUAGGUGGCUUGAUAAGCCGGUUGUGAAAGCCCCGGGCUCAACCUGGGAACGGCAUCCGGAACUGUCAAGCUAGAGUGCAGGAGAGGAAGGUAGAAUUCCCGGUGUAGCGGUGAAAUGCGUAGAGAUCGGGAGGAAUACCAGUGGCGAAGGCGGCCUUCUGGACUGACACUGACACUGAGGUGCGAAAGCGUGGGUAGCAAACAGGAUUAGAUACCCCAGUAGUC
RNAcentral lists this ribosomal RNA (465 nucleotides) under Vreelandella stevensii. Its description in RNAcentral is "partial 16S ribosomal RNA". It matches the Rfam family "Bacterial small subunit ribosomal RNA", at positions 338 to 795 of the family's 1533-position model. The record is from RNAcentral. Lineage: Bacteria; Pseudomonadati; Pseudomonadota; Gammaproteobacteria; Oceanospirillales; Halomonadaceae.